AGUGACGUCAAGUCCUCAUGGCCUUUAUGACCAGGGCUACACACGUACUACAAUGGCCGAUACAAAGGGCAGCGACACUGCGAGGUGAAGCCAAUCCCGUAAAAUCGGUCUCAGUCCGGAUUGGAGUCUGCAACUCGACUCCAUGAAGUUGGAAUCGCUAGUAAUCGUGGAUCAGCAUGCCACGGUGAAUACGUUCCCGGGCCUU
RNAcentral lists this ribosomal RNA (205 nucleotides) under uncultured Desulfobulbus sp. Its description in RNAcentral is "partial 16S ribosomal RNA". It matches the Rfam family "Bacterial small subunit ribosomal RNA", at positions 1178 to 1382 of the family's 1533-position model. Lineage: Bacteria; Pseudomonadati; Thermodesulfobacteriota; Desulfobulbia; Desulfobulbales; Desulfobulbaceae. The record is from RNAcentral.